This 349-nucleotide long non-coding RNA is filed under the name Neogale vison (American mink). RNAcentral's name for it is "Neovison vison (American mink) lncRNA (ENSNVIG00000021559.1)". The record is from RNAcentral. Lineage: Eukaryota; Metazoa; Chordata; Mammalia; Carnivora; Mustelidae.
CGCGCGCUGUCCCCCGGAGGCGUCUGGGUGUGCGGAGCGCGCGCGCGCGGCUCGGAGGCGCACCUGUGAGGUGUCCCUUGAGGAGAGGGAGGGUGGGUGCGCGGAGCCCGCGGCCUGGGGCGCUUCAACCCCUCACUUGGAAGCGCCCCGCGUCCCAGCAGAGUCCGCCGAGCAUCCUACUCAGGUGAUGAGGAACCCUUCGCGCCCCGAGCGCAGAACGCCGCUGCCGCUGGACGCCUCCAUUGUUUGACCACAACAAGGGCCGGAUUCUCACCCAGGAGGAGCUUGCUCUGUACUCGUCCAGUGGCUGGUUUGUUGACUGGUUGUCUUACUGCAACAAAGACUAGGU